This 253-nucleotide ribosomal RNA is filed under the name uncultured bacterium. RNAcentral describes it as "partial 16S ribosomal RNA". It matches the Rfam family "Bacterial small subunit ribosomal RNA", at positions 524 to 776 of the family's 1533-position model. RNAcentral also lists the same sequence under 1 other name. The record is from RNAcentral.
UACGUAGGGUGCGAGCGUUAAUCGGAAUUACUGGGCGUAAAGCGUGCGCAGGCGGUUUCGUAAGACAGAGGUGAAAUCCCCGGGCUCAACCUGGGAAUGGCCUUUGUGACUGCGAGGCUAGAGUGUGACAGAGGGGGGUAGAAUUCCACGUGUAGCAGUGAAAUGCGUAGAGAUGUGGAGGAAUACCGAUGGCGAAGGCAGCCCCCUGGGUUACUACUGACGCUCAUGCACGAAAGCGUGGGGAGCAAACAGG